Molecule: unclassified non-coding RNA, 1540 nt
Filed under: Hevea brasiliensis (rubber tree)
Lineage: Eukaryota; Viridiplantae; Streptophyta; Magnoliopsida; Malpighiales; Euphorbiaceae
Source: RNAcentral
UAAAAAAAAAAAAAAAACUUUCUUUCUUUUUUCAAUUUUAUUAUAAUCUUUUAAUUUGAUCAAAUUGAUACAUGAACUAAAAAAAUUGUAACAAUUUUAACAAUUAACUGGUUACAGCAUAUCGUAACUGGCAAAUGGGCUGAUUUGGCGGUUUAUUUAAUGAUUCAAAAUGCACCAUUUCACUUUAGCAACACUUCAUUCCAGGGUGGAUUUCUGCUGCACCUUUUCCAUCUUCAGCUCCUUUCUGUCUCCUUGGCUUCCUUCUUCCUUGGUUCUCAACAGAUAACACAGCUUCAGGCCCAUUAUUACUUGCCCCACCAUGGCUGACACAACAUCCAUGCCCACACAAGUGCAAAUCAUUCAUCUCUCUCCCCCACAUCUCAACCAGAUCAAAUGCAAGCCCCCACUUCAAAAAUUACCCUUGAACCCAUUGAACAACCGCCAUCGCGACAAAUACUACUAGCAUCAUCUUUUUAACCACUCAAAAACAUUCUCCAACCUAUAAGUGAAACUCAGCAAGGGAGAGAGAUCAUGAAAUCGGAGAUGUACAGGGACGUGGCCAGCUACAACAUGGAAGUGCAACUAUGGUGACGCUUCUGUAUUAGGAUUUGAGAUGUGUUUGGGAGGCUAGUAUCUUUGAUUGGUAUCCGUGCUGCUUCUCGUUUCACCCAUUUGUUUGUCGUUGUAUUCCCUCCUGCUCUCACGUUCUUAUGGUUGGCUAUGUCAGUGCAUGCAAUUACCAAUUUUUAAUGACCUAUGCCACCAUUAGGGUUAGCAUAAUACCUUUGAUUUUCAGUCUUCAACUUUUGGGUGAUAGUUUUACUUGAAGCCUUGAAAGAUAUGUAGAGGAGAAGAAUCAAGCGAGGAAUUAGGGUUUUUUUAGUUGACAGAUUUGGGCAAGUGAUGAUAGAGCAUUAAUUGCUCAUUGAGAAAUGUUUAAAAUGGUGAGUUUUGACUUUUUCCAUUGUCAUUGCCAAUCCAGCCAAUUUGCCGGUUACAAUAUUCUCUAACCAAUUAAUUGCUAAAAUUGUUACAAUGUUUUUAGUUCAUAUAUCAAUUUGAUAAAAUUAAAAGGUGGUGAUAAAAUUGACAAAAAGCAUAUUUUUUUGGGUCAUUAAGCCUUUAUUAAAUAUUGUUUCAUCUAGAUAUCUCUGGUGUUGAUUUGACUAUGUAUAUGAGCUUUAACAUAUUCUCAUGCACAUUAAAUCAAAUUAAAGAAAUAAAACAAAGAGGCCAUCUUUAGAUGAGAAAUUAGAGCUGUUGCUAGUAUUGCAUUCCGCAAAGGUCAUUCUGCUGCCUUUCUUGUGGUCCUUUUUCUUUUUUAUUCCCUUCUUUUUCUCAUCCUUUUCCCCCUCUCCUUUUAAAGAAGGAAAGCUAUGGAAGUGAUUAUUCUGAAUUGAAUAAAGAUGAUUAAGAAGAUUGUUGUGCUUGAUCAUGACUAUUCUUAAGGCUAUUAAAAACUGUUAUUUUUUAUGGGAUUAUGGUUUCAGACUUUCUAACAUCAUUCCUUUUUUUUUCAAUUAAAAAAAAAUCGCGGCUA